Molecule: ribosomal RNA, 253 nt
Filed under: uncultured bacterium
Lineage: Bacteria
Description: partial 16S ribosomal RNA
Rfam family: Bacterial small subunit ribosomal RNA
Source: RNAcentral
UACGGGGGGGGCAAGCGUUGUUCGGAAUUACUGGGCGUAAAGGGCGUGUAGGCGGUCAAGUAAGUGGAAUGUGAAACGCCUCGGCUUACCCGAGGACCUGCAUCCCAAACUGCUUGGCUUGAGUAUGGGAGAGGAUGAGGGAAUUCCUGGUGUAGCGGUGAAAUGCGUAGAUAUCAGGAGGAACACCGGUGGCGAAAGCGCUCAUCUGGCCCAAUACUGACGCUGAGGCGCGAAAGCUAGGGGAGCAAACGGG